UAGCCGUAAACGAUACUCGCUAGGUGUCGGCCACGGUGCGACCGUUGUCGGUGCCGUAGGGAAGCCGUGAAGCGAGCCACCUGGGAAGUACGGCCGCAAGGCUGAAACUUAAAGGAAUUGGCGGGGGAGCACAACAACGGGUGGAGCCUGCGGUUUAAUUGGACUCAACGCCGGACAACUCACCGGGGACGACAGCAAUAUGUAGGCCAGGCUGAAGACCUUGCCUGAAUCGCUGAGAGGUGGUGCAUGGCGU
Molecule: ribosomal RNA, 253 nt
Filed under: uncultured archaeon
Lineage: Archaea
Description: partial 16S ribosomal RNA
Rfam family: Archaeal small subunit ribosomal RNA
Source: RNAcentral